CAAUGUCCCAGUCCCUGGAGAGGUCUCACCUCUCACAGAGAUGCACUCAGAGCCUAUCAGCUGAAUCCGCAGCCAUGAGCUUUGUCUUCCUGAGCUUUCCUCAGAGCUGCUCCAUAUGCCUUCAAUCCACGAAAGAAGCGGCUCCUGCUUAGAGAGACGCCUGUGCCCACCUGGGACUUGGCUGAAGCAGAAGGAAAGGGAGCCACGUUGGGUGGACUCGGCCCACCCUGUAGUUGAAUUACCUACUGCAGAAAAACGUGCGCAACUCCUCCAGUCCGGAAAUGCCUCAAAUGACCCACGGAGAGGAAGACACAGCGAGAAGUUGGUAGUCUGCAACCCAGAAGAGGGCCUCACCUGACCAUGCUGGUACCCUGAUCUCAGACUUCCAGCCUCCAGACUGUGAGAAAUAAAUUUCUCUUGUU
This is a long non-coding RNA of Diceros bicornis minor, 422 nucleotides long. RefSeq lists it as uncharacterized. The record is from RefSeq and is a predicted model, not a curated record. The transcript is spliced from 3 exons. NCBI's taxonomy places the organism in Eukaryota, Metazoa, Chordata, Mammalia, Perissodactyla, Rhinocerotidae.